AUUGAACGCUGGCGGCAGGCCUAACACAUGCAAGUCGAGCGAUAGGAGGACGGGUGAGUAAUGUCUGGGAAACUGCCUGAUGGGGGGGGAUAACUACUGGAAACGGUAGCUAAUACCGCAUACCAUCAGAUGUGCGCAGAUGGGAUUAGCUAGUAGGGGGGGUAACGGCUCACCUAGGCGCAGAUCCCUAGCUGGUCGGAGAGGAUGACCAGCCACACUGGAACGGAGACACGGUCCAGACUCCUACGGGAGGCAGCAGUGGGGAAUAUUGCACAAUGGGCGCAAGCCUGAUGCAGCCAUGCCGAGUGUGUGAAGAAGGCCUUCGGGGUGUAAAGCACUUUCAGCGGGGAGGCGUUACCCGCAGAAGAAGCACCGGCUAACUCCGUGCCAGCAGCCGCGGUAAUAC
RNAcentral lists this ribosomal RNA (406 nucleotides) under uncultured bacterium. RNAcentral's name for it is "partial 16S ribosomal RNA". It matches the Rfam family "Bacterial small subunit ribosomal RNA", at positions 29 to 526 of the family's 1533-position model. The record is from RNAcentral.